GCCUAGCCGUAAACAAUUAACUUACACUAAUAAACGCCAGGGAACUACGAGCUAUGCUUAAAACCCAAAGGACUUGACGGUGUCCCAUACCAACUAGAGGAGCCUGUUCUAUAAUCGAUGACCCCCGCUAUACCCAACCAUCCCUUGCUUUAUCAGCCUGUAUACCUCCGUCAUAAGCCUACCAUGUGAACGUCAACAGUGGGCCCAAUGGUUUAUACAACCAAAAUGCCAGGUCAAGGUGCAGCUCACGGAAUGGUAAGUAAUGGGCUACAAUUUCUAAUCUAGAACAAACGGAAAGCUAUGUGAAACCACAGCCUAAAGGUGGAUUUAGUAGUAAAAAGAAAAUAGAGUGUUCUUUUUAACCCGGCCCUGGGACACGUACACACCGCCCGUCACCCUCUUCAAUAGCUCUCAUUUUAUGUAUAUUACACUAUAUCUGCGUUUUAGAAGAGGCAAGUCGUAACAUGGUAAGUGUACUGGAAAGUGCACUUGGUUAA
This 497-nucleotide ribosomal RNA is filed under the name Amolops cf. ricketti KR-2003. RNAcentral describes it as "partial 12S ribosomal RNA". It matches the Rfam family "Bacterial small subunit ribosomal RNA", at positions 794 to 1525 of the family's 1533-position model. The record is from RNAcentral. Lineage: Eukaryota; Metazoa; Chordata; Amphibia; Anura; Ranidae.